CCCACUAACUUCACCAUUCUCAAUGAAUUUUGCAUUACCGAUUUCAACAAUUCUCGAACUAUGAUUUGGACAGUAAAACCUAUACCCUUUAGAUUUCUCUGGAUAACCAAUAAAGUAACCACUUACCGUUCGAGAAUCUAAUUUCUUUUCAUGUGGAUUAUAAACUCUAGCUUCCGCUUGACAACCCCAAACAUGCAGG
This 199-nucleotide long non-coding RNA is filed under the name Solanum tuberosum (potato). RNAcentral describes it as "long non-coding RNA (STUB_LNC000845)". Lineage: Eukaryota; Viridiplantae; Streptophyta; Magnoliopsida; Solanales; Solanaceae. The record is from RNAcentral.